Molecule: long non-coding RNA, 896 nt
Organism: Eriocheir sinensis (Chinese mitten crab)
Lineage: Eukaryota; Metazoa; Arthropoda; Malacostraca; Decapoda; Varunidae
Exons: 3
Source: RefSeq, a predicted model, not a curated record
AUAAAAAUUUUGCUAAGAUCAUGUUUCAUAAAUGUCUUGAUUAUUUUGAGACGAAGCAGUUGAGCUUCACGAAUUCCAAUACACAAGUUUGGGGACUGACGCCUUAACACUGCGCUGCUACAACCAGUGCCGGGCUAAGGACUCCAAGGACACGGGACGAGAUCAUCCCUGAGCUUUACAUUGCAUCCCAGGAUGCCAGAUCAAGGCCUCCCAGGAGAGCUCUUCCUGCGAUACACAAAUGAUCCAUUUGGGCAGCCAGACCCUGAGACAUGGUCAAAGAGGUGCUAGUGCCCAUGGGCUCAAUUAUCAACCAGUCUGAGUGGGUAUACGUUCUUAGUGGCCUUGAGCCAGGCACUGAGUACACCCUUCGACUGGUUCUCACAGUGCAGGGAACUGAGCCAAUUCAUUCACAGAUGUUCACCUGCACCACCGCGGACGAAGGUGAGGAAGUCAUUUUUAGCUUGUCUUUUGCUUACGUGUUGUAGUACUAACUUUCAUUAUUCUUACAAUAACUUAUAUUAAUAUUUUUUCUCAAUGAAAACUUGCGUAUAAGAAAAGUAUUUAAACCCAGUGAAACAUAAUCUUCCUACUGAGAUUCAAAUCGUGAUCAGCCAUUAUAUUAAAAAAAAAGUACAUAUGAAAAUUUGGGAAAGAAAGACACAAGGAAUAAAUAAAUGCUACAUAUAAGAGAAAUUAAAUAACUUCAGCUGGGACAGUCUCCAUCAUAAUUAUGUUGAAACUGAUCUGCAUUGUAUUAUUAAAAUUUUGAUGGAUAGUCUCUCUGUACGCUACGAGGUAUUUUUGCCAGUCUCAGGCUGGGGAGUGACUGCUAAGUAACUGGCCCGCUGGAUGCUACACGGCGGAACAGACGACUUAUAUGUUUACAUGUGUGUGUG